Molecule: ribosomal RNA, 301 nt
Filed under: uncultured bacterium
Lineage: Bacteria
Description: partial 16S ribosomal RNA
Rfam family: Bacterial small subunit ribosomal RNA
Source: RNAcentral
CAGCAGCCGCGGUAAUACGUAGGGUGCGAGCGUUAAUCGGAAUUACUGGGCGUAAAGCGUACGUAGGCGGCUUUGUAUGUUAGAGGUGAAAGCCCGGAGCUCAACUCCGGAAUUGCCUUUAAGACUGCAUCGCUUGAAUCGUGGAGAGGUGAGUGGAAUUCCGAGUGUAGAGGUGAAAUUCGUAGAUAUUCGGAAGAACACCAGUGGCGAAGGCGGCUCACUGGACACGUAUUGACGCUGAGGUACGAAAGCGUGGGGAGCAAACAGGAUUAGAUACCCCGGUAGUCCCUGUCUCUUAUAC